AGAGCAUCUGGGCUUAAGCCGGUUCAGCUUCAGAGGUGGGUUUCGGAAGUCUGUGGCGGACCACGGCAGCAAGUCGUCACUCACCGUACAAGCCUUUCCAUUUCUGAGAAUAUAAAAAACUUAAGCAUGCGGCGUUCGGAGUGUAGAUUGCUUUGUAGUAUUCCAAAGCAGCGCUGAUCGUGGGCAGAGGAGCAGAUAUGUGCAACAGAAACUACUCACUGGAACUCUUCUGGACUUCUGUCCUCUGUAAUGCAAGUGUCUGCCCUCACUCUGGCUGCUGUGCUGUUGGAAUACUUGGAACACCGGUGCUCAUCUUUCACUGUCCUCCACAGAGCAUGCCUCAGGACUGUAGGCAGCCUGUUUAUGACUUUGUAAGACUACCCCUGGGAAGGAGGGACAGACAGACCUAAAGAAUUCCCUAACAGUUCUGACUAAACUUUCCAUUUAUUUGCUUGCAAAUAACAGGAUGUCACUUUUCCCAAUAGCUAAAUAAUACUCCAUUGUAUAAAAAUACUACAUUUUCAUUAUCCAUUAUUGGGUUGAGGAAGAACUAGUUUGUUUCCUGUUUCUGGCUAUUAUGAAUAAAAGUCACCUUGAACAUGAUUGAGCAAGUGUAUUUGUUGAUGGGAUGGACUUUUUUUUUUUAAGUGGGGUGUAUAUGCCCAAGAGUGAUAUAGCUCUAUCUUAUGGUAACUUUUUAUUUUCCAAAACCCAGAAAAAGAAAAUAUUUCAUUGUGAGUGAGAACACUCAAAUAUAUAGGACUAUACUUCUGAAAGCCCUUCUCUCUGACAUUUUAUCCAAUAGCUGAAACACAACAAUUGAAAUAUAACUUCUGGCUAUAAUAAACAAGAAUGGGAUUGUUCUCAUUUCCAUCUGUGGUUAAAACAAGUGUUCACAGGACCUGUCACCUAACAUAGAGAAGAUUGGCAGCCAGAACGACUUGGAUACCCCACCUCCAUUACCCACUGUGGUCACAGCAUGAAGCCAUGACUGGCUCUUUAGUUGUAUGCCAUGAAAUGGAAAUCUCAUUUUCAUGCUUGUGCACUAAUCCUAAAAGUAUCAUAUUCCCAAAUACUUUUUUUUUUGUUUUCUGUAUUCCCAAAUACUUGAUUUAUUUUCUUAAUGGAGUUUGUAGGCCAAUAAGUUACUUCUACUCAUUUUAUCAUUUCAAUAUGGUUAUUUCAUAUUCUGAGGAUUGGUUGAAAAAGAUCAUAGUUAUAAGAGUACAGGUUCCAAUCUCAAAUAUAAAAUCUAUACAUGGAAUCUUUACUAAUUUUUUAACUGCAUUAUUUCUUUAUGUUACUAUGCCUCCUACCACCUUCACCUCAUUUAUGUUCAAAUCAGCAAUAUUAUUCAUAUUAAAAACAUAGGCUUUUUAGCUCUC
This 1385-nucleotide long non-coding RNA is filed under the name Mus pahari (shrew mouse). RNAcentral describes it as "predicted gene, 38353 (MGP_PahariEiJ_G0005721.1)". Lineage: Eukaryota; Metazoa; Chordata; Mammalia; Rodentia; Muridae. The record is from RNAcentral.